RNAcentral lists this transfer-messenger RNA (357 nucleotides) under Asticcacaulis sp. AC466. RNAcentral's name for it is "Alphaproteobacteria transfer-messenger RNA". It matches the Rfam family "Alphaproteobacteria transfer-messenger RNA". Rfam says of the family: Bacterial tmRNA, also known as 10Sa RNA or SsrA, is named for its dual tRNA and mRNA-like properties. Its role is to liberate the mRNA from a stalled ribosome. Lineage: Bacteria; Pseudomonadati; Pseudomonadota; Alphaproteobacteria; Caulobacterales; Caulobacteraceae. The record is from Rfam by way of RNAcentral.
GGCCUUUCCCUUUGCCGCAGACCCGCCUAUAUUGGUGAGGUCGGGUUUCGGCCUGACUAUGGGGAUAAACGCCCACGUAAUAAGCGAACUGGACCCGGGUGCGAUUCCCGGCGGCUCCACCAUUCCCUUCGCAAGAGGGCUUUUUAUGGGGCCGAUCAGCAUCGACAGGCGUGUAAAGGUGAAGCUUUCCCUCAGUGUGAGCCUCUGUGAUCGGCUCAUUUUAUAACUGCGAACGAUAACUUCGCUUCGGAUCAAGCUCUUGCUGCGUAAUGCGGCGGAGUUAAUCCACCUAAACUCCUAGGAAUUAAGCCUCCUAGGCGGGGCCCGGAAGCCGCCUUGCAACAGAAGGCUUCCACU